ACAGGGCGGAUGCCUUGGCACUAAGAGCCGAUGAAAGACGUGAUAAGCUGCGAUAAGCUUCGGGGAGGAGCAAAUAUCCCGUGAUCCGGAGAUGUCUGAAUGGGGAAACCCACAUGAGCAAACCUCAUGUAUCCUACAGCCAAUACAUAACUGUAGGAAGGGAACCCGGGGAACUGAAACAUCUAAGUACCCGGAGGAAAAGAAAGAAAACUCGAUUCCGUAAGUAGCGGCGAGCGAACGCGGAGGAGCCUAAACCGGAAUGCGUGCAUUCCGGGGUUACGGACUGCAUUUAAGAUUCUUUGAAGCUAACAGAACGGUUUUGGGAAAGCCGGCCGGAGAGGGUGAAAGCCCCGUACGUGAAAGCUGAUGAGACUGAGCAGGAUCCAGAGUACCACGAGACACGUGGAACCUUGUGGGAAAUCAGGGGGACCACCCCCUAAGGCUAAAUACUACUUAGUGACCGAUAGCGCAUAGUACUGUGAAGGAAAGGUGAAAAGGACCCCGGGAGGGGAGUGAAAGAGAACCUGAAACCCUGUGUCUACAAGCUGUGGAAGCACUUUAUAUGUGCGACCGCGUACUUUUUGUAGAACGGUCCGGCGAGUUACGCUUACUGGCAAGGUUAAGCACUUCAGGUGUGGAGCCGUAGGGAAACCAAGUCUUAAGAGGGCCUUAAGUCAGUAGGAGUAGACCCGAAACCGGGUGAUCUAUCCAUGUCCAGGUUGAAGCUGCCGUAAGAGGUAGUGGAGGACCGAACCCACAUCCGUUGAAAAGGGUGGGGAUGAGGUGUGGAUAGGGGAGAAAUUCCAAUCGAACCCGGAGAUAGCUGGUUCUCCUCGAAAUAGCUUUAGGGCUAGCCUCGAUACAGAUUUGCGGAGGUAGAGCACUGAAUUUCCUAGGGGGCGUCAAAGCCUACCGAAGAAUAUCAAACUCCGAAUGCCGCGUAAUCGAUUAUCGGGAGUCAGACUGCACGAGAUAAGUUGGGCGGUCAAAAGGGAAAGAGCCCAGACCUUCAGUUAAGGUCCCCAAGUGCGCGUUAAGUGGAAAAGGAUGUGGGAUUUCGAAGACAACCAGGAUGUUGGCUCAGAAGCAGCCAUCCAUUCAAAGAGUGCGUAAUAGCUCACUGGUCGAGAGGUCCUGCGCCGAAAAUGUCCGGGGCUGAAACGCGCCACCGAAACUAAGGAACCGAAAGGUUGGUAGAGGAGCAUUGCAUGCGGGAAGAAGCAGUACCGUAAGGAGCUGUGGACUGCAUGGAAGAGAGAAUGCCGGAAUGAGUAGCGAGAAUAAGGUGAGAAUCCUUAUGGCCGAAUAUCCAAGGUUUCCAGAGUAAAGCUGAUCUGCUCUGGGUAAGUCGGGGCCUAAGGCGAGGACGAGAGUCGUAGCCGAUGGACAACAGGUGGAGAUUCCUGUACUGCGGUAUGACAGAACUGUGGGGACACGUAAGGAAAGCGGAAGCCGGGAAUGGAAAGCCCGGUGCAAGCGGGGUACCAGUCACUUUGGCAAAUCCGGGUGGCAAUGGGAAGCCGUGAUGCGGAGCGAAAUAAAGUAGCGAAGUCCGUGAGCCAUGCGUCAAGAAAAGCCGCUAUUGUUUGUACCGUACCCGUACCGUAAACCGACACAGGUGGAUGAGGAGAGAAUCCUAAGGCCGGCGGAAGAAGCAUUGUCAAGGAACUCGGCAAAAUGGCCCCGUAACUUAGGGAUAAGGGGUGCCUGGGAAACCAGGCCGCAGAGAAUAGGCUCAAGCAACUGUUUAGCAAAAACACAGGUCUAUGCGAAACCGAAAGGUGAGGUAUAUGGGCUGACGCCUGCCCGGUGCUGGAAGGUUAAGAGGAGAGGUUAGCGCAAGCGAAGCUUUGAAUUUAAGCCCCAGUAAACGGCGGCCGUAACUAUAACGGUCCUAAGGUAGCGAAAUUCCUUGUCGGGUAAGUUCCGACCCGCACGAAAGGCGUAAUGAUUUGAGCGCUGUCUCGACAAUGCAUCCGGUGAAAUUGAAGUACCAGUGAAGAUGCUGGUUACCU
Molecule: ribosomal RNA, 2015 nt
Filed under: human gut metagenome
Description: bacterial LSU rRNA
Rfam family: Bacterial large subunit ribosomal RNA
Source: RNAcentral